RNAcentral lists this ribosomal RNA (163 nucleotides) under Lasthenia burkei. RNAcentral's name for it is "5.8S ribosomal RNA". It matches the Rfam family "5.8S ribosomal RNA". From Rfam's summary of the family: 5.8S ribosomal RNA (5.8S rRNA) is a component of the large subunit of the eukaryotic ribosome. It is transcribed by RNA polymerase I as part of the 45S precursor that also contains 18S and 28S rRNA. The record is from RNAcentral. Lineage: Eukaryota; Viridiplantae; Streptophyta; Magnoliopsida; Asterales; Asteraceae. RNAcentral also lists the same sequence under 8 other names.
UAAACGACUCUCGGCAACGGAUAUCUCGGCUCACGCAUCGAUGAAGAACGUAGCAAAAUGCGAUACUUGGUGUGAAUUGCAGAAUCCCGUGAACCAUCGAGUUUUUGAACGCAAGUUGCGCCCGAAGCCUUCUGGUUGAGGGCACGUCUGCCUGGGCGUCACG